RNAcentral lists this ribosomal RNA (374 nucleotides) under uncultured bacterium. Its description in RNAcentral is "bacterial SSU rRNA". It matches the Rfam family "Bacterial small subunit ribosomal RNA", at positions 524 to 898 of the family's 1533-position model. The record is from RNAcentral.
UACGUAGGGUGCGAGCGUUAAUCGGAAUUACUGGGCGUAAAGCGUGCGCAGGCGGUCUUGCAAGACAGUGGUGAAAUCCCCGGGCUCAACCUGGGAACUGCCAUUGUGACUGCAAGGCUGGAGUACGGCAGAGGGGGAUGGAAUUCCGCGUGUAGCAGUGAAAUGCGUAGAUAUGCGGAGGAACACCGAUGGCGAAGGCAGUCCCCUGGGCCUGUACUGACGCUCAUGCACGAAAGCGUGGGGAGCAAACAGGAUUAGAUACCCUGGUAGUCCACGCCCUAAACGAUGUCAACUGGUUGUUGGGGAUUUGUUUCCUCAGUAACGAAGCUAACGCGUGAAGUUGACCGCCUGGGGAGUACGGCCGCAAGGUUAAA